UUCAACUACCAAAUGCAAUCAUGAGUCUGUGCUUUAUUGAAAUAUGGCAUAAAACAUAGUGUUUUUUGGAAGUUUAUAACUUGUUCAUAUUACUGACUUGUCUCGUCUAAGUAAAACAUAGUUAGCAUUGAAGUUACUAUUCUUGCACAACUUUCGAUAAUGUAUAGACACACAUUUCAGCUCGCAUACGGCUCAUAUGUAGACACAUCAUUGUACUUGCAAUUUAAAAUCGCGGCACAAUAUCUAACUCGCAUACGACUCAUAUGAUGUGGAGACGACGACGACAUUCCACACUUCAAACUUGUUGAUCCAUCGCCCAUAAAAAUCUCCAAAUGGCGCAUGAGGUAUAACCCUGUGCCUAUUCACACCUUUAAGCAGACAUGAACAACAUUCUGAAAUUCAACUCAUACCAUAUUCAUGGUCAACAAUAGACAUGAAUAACGCAUAUUAUAUUCAAAGACAUUAUAUUCAUAGCAUUUUUCAUACAUGAACAACCCCACAUCAUAUUCACACAUUCAAUUAGCACAAACAAAAUCUUACGUGAACAAAUAACUCAUAUUCACAUUAUAAUCAUUGCAAAAAAUAAUAAUGAUCAACGAAUGGUAUAUUUAUAUUUAGUAAUGCUUAAAAUAUUCACACACAAAACAUACAUUAACAUACGAACGACCCGUAACUACUGAUCAUGUUCAUAUCCAAAUAAAGAUAUGAACAAAGUAUUUUAUCAUAAAUAAGUACUAUGUUCACAUGAACAACAAACAUGAACUACAAACAUAAACACAUGAACAUGAAAAUGCUAUGUUGGAAAUAAGUACUAUGUUCUCAAGAAAAAAUGCUUCAACCACAUAGUGACAUGUUCACCGGAAAAUUCCCGAUCGGAAACAAAAAAACCCACCGAAAAUAAAAAAAAAUCAUAGAUUUGCAAAAAAUACAUACAUUCACCGAAACAAAACUCCCUACAAUCAACAAUGUUCAUAUAAACAAAUUGCAAAAAGUAAACAAUGUUAAAUGCAUACACUCACCCAAAAUUGCAAAAAACAUAGCAACAACGUUCAUAUAAACAAAUCUCCCUACAAUCCACAGAAAAAAAAGGAAGGCUGUAAAUGAACAAAUCUUCCUCCACAUCUCCGGAUUUACAAAAGUUAUACAAAAAAACAAAAACAAAAACAUGCAUAGCAGCCUCUGUAAGUGACGGAAAUUUCUUGUUCAUCGAAACAUGGAGUAUCAAAAAAAAAAACAAAGGUAGGCUCUCAAACCUUGUUCGAUUGCCGGAUCUUUCGGCCGAUAUAGAUGAAUAGCGGACACCCAAGUGACGGAAAUUUCUUGUUGGCCGGAAUACUUACUUCUUCCUCAGUAAUGGUGGCCGAAAAAGAGAGAUGAAGAUGAAAGGGGUAAAUGGGCGGUGAAAAGACACUAAUUUAACUCAAAAAAUGAUUUCUUCCUUUUAGUCAACGCAAUAAAUGGGAUACAUUAAAUCUUGAUUAUGAUUCCUUUUUUAUUCACAUAGAUAAUUACUUGUAUGACCCUAUUCAUACUAAUCGACAAUUUAGAUUUAAUAGGGUAAUAUAAUUUUUAAUAAAAUUCAAUUAAUGACAACCAUUGGAUUAACUAUAAUCAAUGGUCUAUGAUUGUUCUUAGGUGUCACAGAUUUCUAAAUUCUCACUUGAUACCA
This 1669-nucleotide long non-coding RNA is filed under the name Salvia miltiorrhiza (redroot sage). Its description in RNAcentral is "long non-coding RNA (SMIL_LNC009243)". The record is from RNAcentral. Lineage: Eukaryota; Viridiplantae; Streptophyta; Magnoliopsida; Lamiales; Lamiaceae.